GAGAGGGAGAGAGAGAGUGAGACACAGAAUCCGAAGCAGGCUCCAGACUCUGAGUUGUCAGCACGGAGCCCGAUGCAGGGCUCGAACCCCUGAACCGUGAGAUUAUGACCUGAGCCGAAGUCAGAUGCUCAACCGACUGAGCCACGGCACUGGUCAGUUCCUCCUUCGAAGAGACUUUUCUGGCCACUGACUGGCCUUCUUUUCCUCUGUGUGGCCCUUCUCAUUUGUCCUGACAGCCUAACUCCUGGACUGUCGUCUGUCCUUCCUCAUUAGAUGAGGUUGGGGAUUGUGGCUUCUUGCGGCUUUGCUCCAGUGCACCCCAUACUUAGCCGAGGGUGCAGCCACCUUGCAGGUGCUCGGUGAAUAUUUAUCACAUGUGCAAAUGAGAGGAGUCCUAGGCUUGGCUAAAUGUGUUUGUUACAAAUGAGAAAGUGAGAACACAUCCAUGGUGGAAAACGUUACAAGAGAAACUGUCCUGGUCAGUGAGUUGUGGUUACAAGCAUUUCCUCCCGUUGAGUUGUCUUCCUCGCCCUCCUUUGUCUCCACUGCCUCCACUCCGCUCCCAUCCAGGUCUCACCUGCUUGCUCCUGAGGUUACUUUCACAGUCAUUCCCACAUCCGGGCUCCCGCUCUCCUGGACCCGCGUUCUGCAGGGGUGCUUACUGACCACGUUUGUCUUAUUUCAGCCUGGACACAUGGAAGCAGGUAGCUGAAAUAAGUCACACUUCCUUCUGUACUCCGACCUCCUCCCUGGAAAACCAGGUCUUCCCAGCAGGGAAUAUCCCCUUCCCAGUUACAGGCUGGGGCUGGCUGUGGGGCACCUUCCUCUGUGCUGAUGCUUCUAUGUGUGUUAGAGCCGUGGAUGUGUUAUCUUACUUCGUCUUUUGAUGCCUAGGACCAAGUGCUAUUUUUAAUUUAGAGACUAGAGUAAGACCCCGGCCCUAGGUGACAGCUAAAAAGUAGAUCAUGGAGGGGCGCCUGGGUGGCUCAGUCUGUUAAGCGUCCAACUAUGGCCCAGGUCAUGAUCUCGCAGUUCGUGAGUUCAAGCCCUGUGUAGGGCUCUGUGCUGACAGCUCAGAGCCUGGAGUCUGCUUCAGAGUCUUUGUCUCCCGCUCUUUCUGCCCCUCCCCUGUUCACGCUCUGUUUCUCUCUCAAAAAUAAACAUUAAAAAAAAAAAAAAGUAGAACAUGGAUUUGUACCCAGGAUCCAAAGCCCACCUACGUAGUCUGUAAUAUGUGGCCUGUCUGUGCUAGAUUGUACUGAUUCCUGUUUAAGGUUUUACAGGUACAAAGUAUGUGAAGCAUUCUGCAGAAUGGGGUUAAAUGAACUUAAGGUUUUCAUGGAGGAAUUCAUGUCUAAGCAUAUGAAAAAUACAGCGAGAGGGGACUGGCUUUACCAUUUCCUACGAGUUUGUUAAGCAUUGUAAACACAAGAAUAGAAAACUGACAGUUAACAGUGAGAGCCCGGUGUCUACACAAAAUAAUAGUUCAAUGGGCAAAGAUUAUUGAUUAAAUGGUGCAUUAUUCUCAUCACUAGAGCAAUAGCUUAUCGACUACUCAAAUUUGUGAUUUGUAUAAACUGCUUAUCAGUACUUUCUAAUCAUUGCAUAAAACUUCUUUAUAUAUUGUGGAUACUAAUAGUUUAUUGACCAAAUUUGUUGUAUUUUGCCCAUUGUAUUAUUAUUUACCUUUUAAAUUUAGUUAUAUUUUUGGCCAUAUGAAUUAUAUUUUUUUUAAUUAAAUACAUCUAUCUUUUGAUUGAUAAAUUCUGAAUUCUGUCUUAUUUGGAAAAAAUAAUUAAAUUGAUAUAAGAUAUUCUCUGCCCAUAGGGUGGAGUCCACUAGAUUUUCUAAAAUUGCAGUUUUAGGGGCAUCUGGGUGGCUAAGUCAGUUGGGUGUCAGACUCUUGGUUUUGGCUGAGGUCAUGAUCUCAGGGUUUGUGGGUUUGAGCCCCGGGUCAGGCUCUGUGCUGACAGCAGGGAGCCUGCUUGGUUUGUUCUUUCUUUCUCUCUCUCUCUUUCUGCCCCUCUACCACUCAUGCUAUCUGUCUCUAAAUAAACUUAAAAAAUAAAAUUACAAUUUUAUUUUUAUGUUUAAAUCUUUAAUUCUUCUACAAUUUGUGUGUAUGUGAUGAUUUAUAUCCUAAUGGCUAAACAGUUCUACCACCAAAGCUGGAUAGUUGAAGGCAUAGACAUGGACAGUGCCUGGAAUGAUUGCAUACUUAACAAAGGUUAGCUCUGAGGUGGUGGCGGUUAUAUGCAUAGAGUAGUGGGUUUUGUUUUGUUUUUUUAAUGUUUUAUUUACUAUUUAUUUUUGAGAGAGAGAGGGAGGCACAGAAUGUGAGGAAGACUCCAGGCUCUGAGCUAUCAGCACAGACCUAAUGUGGGCCUCGAGCUCGUGGACCGAGAGAUCGUAGCCUGAGCUGAAGUCGGACGCUUAACUGACUGAGCCACUCAGAUGUCUGUACAGUGAUGGUUUUAAAAUGGUGGUCAGGAUACUAAAAUCAGCCAGGCUGCUCCUCAAAAUGCAGAUUCCUUGAAACGCCCCCAGACCUACUGGACCAGAAUCUCUGAGAGCACAGCUGGUUUCUCAGAAACCAGGAAAUACAUUUGUGGCACAUACGACGGACAGAGGUUAACCCUGUUAACGUGCGAACUGCUGAAGUAGCGACAGGAAAACCGCGCAGACGUGGUGAAUGCACAGGGGAUGCAGUGCCGUGCCUCGCAGAAGAGCAGUAACAGUGUGCACGACACCAGCGCCCCAUUUGUGAGGAACUGAGUCAUUGGGGCCCUUUACACGUGUGUUCCGUAAUCUCCCCCGCUCUGCCUUGUUGGAAGCUUUGGAACUACCGAGGUUGAAAGGACUGUCGGCACAGAGGCGAUGGUGCCCUGACGUGAGCGUCUGACUCGCGGGCGCCGAAGCUGUCUGGAGUGUGGGUGCGUCUGCACACGUGACGUGCGUCGUGUGCCUGUGCCCUGGUGUCCCGGGGCUCCAGAGCGGCCACUACGCACUCCUGUGUUAGACCCCAGAGGGUUGUGAUGUCCUCAAGGCCACCAGUCAGAGUCGACAGGGCCGUGCUCCUCUGACGCUCUAGGGAGAACCCCUCGUUGCCUCUUCCUGGUUUCCUGGCCGCCCUUGGCUGCCCUUGGCCGCCCUUGGCUUCUGGCUUGGCCACCUCGGUACCACCUGCAUCUUCCUAGAUUCUCUCUGUGCCUGAGUGUUUCUCCGUCACUGGAUACAGGGCCUGUCCUAAUCCACUGUGACCUCAUCCUAACGUGAUUCCAUCUCCAGACUACCCCUGAGGUUCUGCGUGGCCAUGAAUUUUGGGAGAUGCUGUUCAACCCAGUAUGGUCCAUCCUCCACCUUCCCCCAUAAAUGUAUCUCUUUCCCACGUACAAAAUAAAUUCAUCCCGUCCCAGCCUCUCCGAGCCUUAGCUUGUUCCAGCAUUCACUCUGACUCCAGCAUCUCUUCUGAGUAUCAUCAGCUCCAAAGCUUCGACGUCUCAUCAUGUGGAUGAUCUAACUCAGGUACAGGUGAGGCUGGGUAUGUUCCAUGGCGGGACAGAAUUCCUCACUCUCCUGUGAACCUGUUAAGCUAGAAAAGAAACCAUCUGCUUCUGUAACACCUUGGGGGAAUAGGCACAGGGUAGACUUUCCCAUUUCAGGAGGGUAAAGUGGGAAAGGGAGGCCUUGGGCCCCAAGCAGGUGGAAAAGCCAACAGGGCAAACUUUGUAUGGUUUCGAGGCCUGAGAAUAGUCCGUGUCUCCUGCUCUGUUUCCUGGUCCUGGGGCCUCCCCCACCCUCUGGCCCCUCUACCUGCCUUCAGGGCGUCCUGCCCUCUUCCUGAAAGAUUACACAUUUGCAGCCCCUGAGUUCCGUUCUUGCUCUCCAGGCCUGUUUCUUGCCACAUGUGUUGAUGAGGGCAUUUAUAUAGGCACUACGAGCUGCUGGGGUUCAGGACUGCCUGAGUGGGGGUGUCCAGCCCAGGUGCCUGCAUCUCAGUCUGUGCUCUCCUGCUCUAACAGAGCUCCUUUGUCAGGAUUUGUGAAACGCACCUGAGGGCCUCAUACAUUGUUGCUUUAUUCUGGGUUUGUGCCUCGGUAAAUUCCCACACAAGUCCAUCAUCACUGUGCACAUACGGGCUCAAAGUCUAGAAUAGAAGUCUGUCCCUUCCCCGCUCCUGUGGAAGCAAGAAUAUAUGUAAUCCAAAAAAUGGCACUACUGGAAUUUCUAAUUGGACUUUUGAUCAAAAGCUAAAUUUCACUAUUUCGAAGCACACAGAUGGACAGGGCUCAACCCCUCCUUAAAGUAACAGAUCCCUUUUAAGGAUGGUGAACACAUUGGUGACAUUGGGGGACAGAUUGACGUAGGUGGGCUUUGAGGUUCUGGUACUAGUGGGAUUUCUUUUUGUAGGUUUGCAAUAGCAGCUUGAGGUGUUUGUAUGAACUCUUUGUUGUGGGUUAUUACUGAAUGUUUAGUCAACCUACCAGUUGGUCCGUGGUCUCGAUUAGUUGAUCAUUAUGAAGCUUAGUACGUAACACUGCUUUUCCUAAAGGCUAAGCAACAAGAGAGGUAAUCUGGUUUCCGUAAAUGUGGUUAGUGGUUUUGUUUUUCAGUCACUUCAUCUUCCUUACCUAUCCCCUUCAGCAUGUGGUGGGAUGAUUAAAUCUGACUCACAGGAAACAUGAAUACGUGAUGGUAUUAUUAGGUGGUUUGCCAGAUUAUAUGUUUGAUAAUUAUGCUGCCUUCAGAUCGUUUGAGGGACAAAUGUACUGUUCUGGUAUUUCCUACUGAUUUUUCUCCCCCUGCCGCGAAUUCCAAUUUCCUAGGUAAACUACCUAGCAGAGGACUCACCCACUGUGUAUUUCCACCAUAGUGCCACACUGUGGCGCUCUUGUGCUUUGGCCAAAUAAUUAGAAAAUACUCUUUUCUUCUUGCUGUCACAGCUCUUAUUUUGUGGAAUGGAUAAGAUGCUCUCAAAAGUAUAUGAAAACGCCCUCAUAUUGGGUACUUUUUUAGCUGUACAUAAUCAGUUUGUGAUUGCUUUCAGUGAUUGUGCUAGAUUGCUUUUUAUGUUCCAUCAUUUUGUUUUUAUUAGCAUGCAUAUUUUUUCUCUUGAUUGCCCCAUAUUACUUAGUUAAAAAAUCAGAGGGCUUUAUCAGUUCAUUUUUUAUUAGCAUGCAUAUUUAAUCUUUUUUGUCUUGAUUACCCCAUCUUAUUUAGUUAAAAAAUUAGAGGGUUUUUUGAAGGUUAUGAAGAAACCAGCAAACAAAAUGACAUUAUAGAUGACAAUAGGCAUAUAUUUUUAACUGUGGCAUUUGGGGCAGUGUUCCAUUAAAGCUACAGUUCUCAAAAUAUACAGUGUGGUCACCACAUCCAAGGUAGCUGUUUUCCCCACUGUUCGUGUUUGCACUGUGCCAGAACGUGUUCAAGAGGAAGCAGUUGAUGAUUUACCUAGAUAUAGUGCUCCCCGUGUUUAAAUUCUCCAGAUUUAUUGUCACUUUCGAGUGUCAUUUCUCAAGCCACGCCAUGUGCUAGUGCUGCUUGCUUUCUAAGGAGACUGUGUUUAGUAGGAGCCUUGAGGGAGGUGUUGGGAGAAUGAAGCACGGGACCAUCAGAGGGAUCCCCCUCCCCUGGGACUCCAAGAUCAGCUAAUAUUUCAGUGCUGUUACGUGAAAUGACUUGAUAGGUCUGCGGGGCUGCUUUUAGGAAGUAACAGUAUUUUAGCAAUGUGAACAACACAAACAGUAAACACUAAUUGAACUCGUAAACUAUUGAAAUGUAUUUUUCUUGAGAACAGAGUGCCAAGGAGAAGAUAGUUGGAUUAAAUGAGUCUGUUGAACUUGAAAGUAAAUGAGAGUCUCUGUCUUGAUCUGUAAAGGACCACAUAUCACUCCCCACAGGAUCAUCGGAAGUAUCUCCUGGCUAAGGAGGACACUCUUAAGUCUGCUGAAAUAGGAAUGGUGGGGGAUCGUGAACAGUUCUGUGGAUUAACUGAUUUUUGAUACUUUCUACCCUUGAGAUCACUAUGGGAACGAUCCUUGGUUGCUGUAGGACCGGCUGUAAGCUCCCUGUGGAGACGCAGUCCAUAGCAUUCCAGUGUGCAGUACUGGGGAGUUUCUAGAGUGAGGUUAGCGGUGAAAUGCCAAUAACGCGUGAAGCAGGGGAUUCAACUUCUGGUCUCCAGACAGGCCUCUAACCCACAGAGCGUGUGCUGGUGGCUGUCACUGGAGGACUUGUAGCCAGUGGGAAUGUCGGAUUUUAGAGCUGGGUGUUCUAGAGCUGUGAGUCGGAGUUAACACAGUCUGCAAAGGGACGGCCACGAAGAGGAAGCCGUGCUCCGCGAGGAACUGUAGUCGUGAACUAAGGACACGGGACAGCAGGGCAUGGGGCAGUAAUGGACCAAAUGACGGUUCAUUUCGUUUAUCCACGUGGUGAACGUUUGUGGGCCUUCUGUCCGGGGCCAGGCUCUGAUGGGCUCUCCAGGCUGGCUGUGUGGGAGGCCAGGCACCAUGACUGACCCAUGUGUGACCGUUAGUUCUGUACACAUUUGUGUAGUAUUUACAGUUGACCUAUUUGCAGAAUCAAUAAACAAAUACAGAAACAUCCUGUCUAGUGGUAACGAUAGAUAAGCACAUAGUUCUGUUUUGGAAAAAUAUGAGAGACAUAUCUUGUAUUUUUAAUUUGUGUCUCAGCUCUCAAUUCUGAGAAUCAGAUUCCUUGAAUCAUUUGUUAUUUAUGUUCAGAAUUCUCUGUGAUAUUUUAUUGUCUGUGGAACAGAGGCUCUAGGGGUGUAUCUCAGUUUUUUUGAAAAAAAGCUUACUUCACAGUAGCAUCCGUGAAAAGGCAGAAAUUAGCAUCUGUUUUCAUUUGGAAAAGUCAAAUAAGAAAACAUGUUCAGAAAUCAUUCCUGUGAAGGAAAGAAGUGUAAAGUAGUUUUCCAAAGUGGUAACUUAGAAAAAAACAGAAGAACAGGAGUGCCUGGAUGGCUCAGUCUGUUGAACGUCCAACUCUUGAUUUCAGCUCAGAACAUGAUCUCACAGUUGUGAGAUCCAGCCCCGCGUCGGGCUCUGUGCUGACAGCACAGAGCCUGCUUUGGUUGGGAUUCUCUUUCCCUCUCUCUACCUCUCUGCCCAUCUCCUCUUGGGCUUUCUUUCUCCCAAAAUAAAACUUAAAAAAAAACCCUCGGGGCACCUGGGUGGCUCAGUCAGUUAAGGGUCUGACUUCACCUCAGGUCAUGAUCUCUCACUCCUUAAGUUCGAGCCCCAAGUCAGGCUCUGCGCUGACCGCUCAGAGCCUGGAGUCUGCUUCGGAUUCUGUGUCUCCUUCUCUUUCUGCCCCUCCACCUCUCCUGCUCUGUCUCUGUCUCUGUCUCUGUAUCUCUC
This is a long non-coding RNA of Acinonyx jubatus (cheetah), 7382 nucleotides long. RefSeq lists it as uncharacterized. NCBI's taxonomy places the organism in Eukaryota, Metazoa, Chordata, Mammalia, Carnivora, Felidae. The transcript is spliced from 2 exons. The record is from RefSeq and is a predicted model, not a curated record.